RNAcentral lists this ribosomal RNA (430 nucleotides) under uncultured bacterium. Its description in RNAcentral is "partial 16S ribosomal RNA". It matches the Rfam family "Bacterial small subunit ribosomal RNA", at positions 31 to 507 of the family's 1533-position model. The record is from RNAcentral.
GAACGCUGGCGGCAUGCCUAACACAUGCAAGUCGAACGAGCCCUUCGGGUCUAGUGGCGCACGGGUGCGUAACGCGUGGGAACCUGCCCUUAGGUUCGGAAUAACUCCCCGAAAGGGGUGCUAAUACCGGAUAAUGUCUUCGGACCAAAGAUUUAUCGCCUUUGGAUGGGCCCGCGUUGGAUUAGCUAGUUGGUAGGGUAAAAGCCUACCAAGGCGACGAUCCAUAGCUGGUCUGAGAGGAUGAUCAGCCACACUGGGACUGAGACACGGCCCAGACUCCUACGGGAGGCAGCAGUGGGGAAUAUUGGACAAUGGGCGAAAGCCUGAUCCAGCAAUGCCGCGUGAGUGAUGAAGGCCUUAGGGUUGUAAAGCUCUUUUACCCGGGAUGAUAAUGACAGUACCGGGAGAAUAAGCUCCGGCUAACUCCGUG